This is a long non-coding RNA of Xiphophorus couchianus (Monterrey platyfish), 2486 nucleotides long. RefSeq lists it as uncharacterized. The record is from RefSeq and is a predicted model, not a curated record. The transcript is spliced from 2 exons. NCBI's taxonomy places the organism in Eukaryota, Metazoa, Chordata, Actinopteri, Cyprinodontiformes, Poeciliidae.
UAAAUGUCACACUUUUUAAAUAAUAAAAAAAGGAAAGUAUUAUCAUAUUAUUACAUCCUCCAAACACCAACUUGUACUACAGUAUUCAUGACAUCAUUCCCCAUAUAUGGAAGACAUUCUAGAUAAAUGAAGAAAACUGCACCUGUAGUUACAUUCUAAGACGGUCGCAGAAUGAGGUAGAUGUCUAGGAACAAAAUAACUGACAGAUGUCUUGCUGGUGGCUUUGUUUUUAUUAUUUUACCCAUAAAAAGUAAAUGAAACCAUUUUUAUAUAUCCAUAUUUAUACCAAUGACUUUCAUGACAAACAUGUAAAACAAUGACCUGCAUUUCAAUUUAAUACGUAACUUUUAAAACAUGCAAACGUUUUCAAAAAUUUUGAUUUAGAUCUGUAGUUUUAAAUAAGAAGGGUCAAGUACGAAGCAUGCACUACGGAUGGAAACACUAUACAUGUAAUUUAAUUUAAAAAAAAAUAAAUGGACCUAGCUUUGUGCAUUGGUGCUCAGACAUCUUGGAACAGGAAGUGGCCAUCUCCAAACCGUUUACACAAAGAUGGGAGCAUGAACUUGCCCAAAAGUGUUGCACGAAAAACAACGGCAUUUCUUUAAUAGUGAAGACAUUCUAAAUAUUUUAAGCGUUUCUAAGUAGGUUAAACAUUCAUUGUUGUUUUGCUUUGUUUUACGGAGCAGACAAUGAGAGGGUUUAUUUGCUAACCUUAUUGGUCUGGUCAUAAGAUGUUGCAGAACCCCAAAUUUCAAGUCUCCUUCAUUAGAUCCACACUCACCAGUCUCAUUAGUAGGUAAACCAAUUGAAUUUCUCAUUAACACAGUUAUGUGUUAUUGAGAAUCAAUUGAGGAGCAACUCCACAUGUUCAGCCAUCUCAAUGUGGUAAAGAUGAGGAGUCAAAAACUGUGCAUCAGACUGGGGGGAAACAUUUGCGUGGCUAAAAAUCCCUGAAUAAUAUCAAUAGUUCAGAGCCAACAAGAGCUAAAAUAACAGCUUAAACAAACCAAGACACAAUAAGUAAUACCAACUGGAACAUGUAGAACCUUGAAGCAGACAGGCUACAGCAGCAGAAGACCAUCUCCACUCCCCCGUCUGUCAACUGAGGCUCAAAUUUGCGCCAAAACUGGACAAUCUCUGAUUGGAAAAAUGUGUCAGUCCAUGAGUCUCGAGUUCAGCAGGUGGUGGUGGUGUGAUGGUGAGGGGAAUGUUUUCUUUGGUACACUUCAGGCCACUCGGUACCAGCGGAGUAUUUUUUUUUUGAAUGCCAAAGCCUGUCUGAGUGUAGUUGCUGCCUAUACCCAUCCCUUAAUGUGUGAUCAUCUCAAACUGUUUGCAGUAAAUCUUGGCAAUGUGGAGGAAUGGAAAACAGAGAGAAUUAUGAAUAUGUAGCUAAAAGAGCUGUUAUUAUGGUGAUAAGGACAGGAAUCUCUGAGGAAUUCUUCAGAGGCCAUGCAGAAACAAUGCCACAAAGACAUUUCUGAAUGCCCAAUGAAUGCAAUUGGUCUAAAGGUGGGUUAUGAUUGCCGUUUCUCAAAGAGAACAACUGGUUGUCUUCUGCUGACAACAAAAUGCGCUCAGGACUAUAUUUAAACUGGAAUAGGUUAAAAAAAAACCUUCCAGGAAGACAGUACAGCCAACACACUGUCGCUAUGCAUCUACACCUCUCCCGGCCGAACAGCUGGGUGCGCAGACACCUCCUUCCCCCUGCUGCUUUGACAAGGUUGUCGUGUGCCGAUAGCGGGCAACUAACUUCUGCAACCUCUCAGCUUCUAAAUCCAGAGCGGAUUCCUCUUGCCCGUCUCGCAGCCGCUCGCUCUCCAGCGAGGGAGAGAAACCCGAUUGGCUGCUGGGAGUCCUCCGUCUUCCACAAAUGGAGAUCUGAACGGUUUCGAGGGAUAAUCAUCGUAAUGGCUCGAGUGUUUCCCCCUUGAGUAUGUGUGAACAGUGAGGCCAGCCAUCUGCUGGCAGGUUGGCACGAUGAUGGAGUACUAUAUGUGUAGGCGAAGAGGAGGAGAGGGGCAUUCAGGAUGAGCAUGGUAAACACACAGGAGAUAGCCAACAGCGGGCUCACUUCAUUUUCACCCAGGGUCCUCUUUGCAUUCGCGGUCAAAUGAGCAAUCCAUUGCAAACACUAUCGUGGCACACUGGCCCUUCAGAUAAUGGACACAAACAGGCCUGUCCGCCUGUGUCCGCCGCCUGUCUCUGCCGACAGGCGGCGGAGGAGAAAGAUAAAUGGGCAGAAGAAAGUUCACUGUGAACACAUUCAUGAAAAGAAUCUGUUCCAGACUCAAAUAUGCAAACUUUGAAACUUUUAAAAGACAAAUGUGGACAGAUGGAUAAAUGAAUGGAUUGAUGGAUGGAGCAAAAAAGACGAGUGUCUUCAGAGAGAAUGUUAAGGACACGUUUUAUUGGAACAACAAAUAAAUUAAGAGGCUCUUAAUUUAUCCAUGCUUGGUUUUUCUCUUUGUGCUUGUUGGCUGUGG